AACGAACGCUGGCGGCAUGCCUAACACAUGCAAGUCGAACGAGACCUUCGGGUUUAGUGGCGCACGCGUGCGUAACGCGUUGGAACCUGCCCUUAGGUUUGGAAUAACUCCCCGAAAGGGGUCCUAAUACCGGAUAAUGUCUUCCUACCAAAGAUUUAUCGCCUUUGGAUGGGCGCGAGUUGGAUUAGUUGGUUGGUAGUGUAAAAGCCUACCAAGGCGUCGAUCCAUAGCUGGUAUGAGAGGAUGAGCAGCCACACUGGGACUGAGACACGGCCCGGAAUCCUAGGGGAGGAAGGAGUGGGGAAUAUUGGACAAUGGGCGAGAGGCUGAUGCAGCAAUGCCGGGAGAGUGAUGAAGGCGGGAGGGAUGGAAAGCUAGUUUACACGGGAUGGUAAUGACGGUACCGGGAGAAUAAGCACCGGCUAACUCCGUG
RNAcentral lists this ribosomal RNA (433 nucleotides) under uncultured bacterium. RNAcentral's name for it is "partial 16S ribosomal RNA". It matches the Rfam family "Bacterial small subunit ribosomal RNA", at positions 29 to 507 of the family's 1533-position model. The record is from RNAcentral.